GUUUUGGACUUGAAGAUGAUGGGCUCGCAUCUAGUCGAUUCCCUGACUGAUGCUGCGUUGUUACUGGAAAGGACAGAUACAGUCAAGGUGGCAAACAGAGGCUUCUGGAUCACAUUUCCCAUCCUCCUGCCACAUCGGUUGUGCCGGCCGGUGCAGGAUGGUGGGAGUUAAAGUCCAACCACAUCUGGAAGGCCGCAUGUUCUCUCACUUCCUCCAGCUGUGGUUCGGCGUUGCUGACCUUUGAGCCAUGAUGGCUGGGCAGUCCUUUGAAGACCCACUUGCCAAGCCGGGGCUGAGCUGAGCUGAGAGGGUCUGGGAGAAACUUCCUCUGAACGUUCUGACAAACUGGGAAUAUGGACCCAUCGCCUCCAACCUACAUGAUUGCCAACUUAGCCCCUUUGCAUUCGGAGCAGCUCCUGCAGGGCCUGAACCUCCUCCGGCAGCACCAUGAACUCUGUGACAUUGUCCUCCGCGUGGGGGAUGUCAAAAUCCACGCCCACAAGGUGGUGCUGGCAAGCAUCAGCCCCUACUUCAAAGCCAUGUUCAGCGGCAACCUGUCCGAGAAGGAGAACUCGGAGGUGGAGUUCCAGUGCAUUGCAGAGGCCGCCCUGCAGGCCAUCGUGGAGUACGCCUACACGGGGACGGUCUUCAUCUCUCAGGACACCGUGGAGUCGCUCCUGCCUGCCGCCAACCUCUUGCAGAUCAAGCUGGUGCUGAAGGAGUGUUGCACCUUCUUGGAAAGCCAGCUGGACCCGGGGAACUGCAUCGGGAUCUCCCGCUUCGCAGAGACCUACGGCUGCCACGAUCUCUGCUUGGCGGCCAACAAAUACAUCUGCCAGAACUUUGAGGAGGUUUGCCAGACGGAAGAGUUUUUCGAACUGACUCAUUCUGAGCUGGACGAAAUUGUCUCCAACGACUGCUUGAACGUCGUCACCGAGGAGAUGGUCUUCUACGCUCUGGAGUCUUGGAUCAAGUACGAGGCGCAAGAGCGGCAGAAGUACCUGGCCCAGCUCCUGCACUGUGUGCGGCUUCCUCUGCUGAGCGUCAAGUUCCUCACCCGGCUCUACGAAGCCAAUCAUCUCAUCCGCGAUGACCACACCUGUAAGCACCUGCUGAACGAAGCCCUGAAGUACCAUUUCAUGCCUGAGCACAGACUUUCUUAUCAGACGGUUCUGACGACGCGCCCUCGCUGCCCGCCUAAGGUUCUCUGCGCUGUGGGAGGGAAAGCCGGACUCUUUGCUUGCUUGGAAAGUGUGGAAAUGUACUUUCCUCAAAAUGACGCCUGGAUAGGACUGGCACCUCUAAGUGUCCCUCGCUAUGAAUUUGGAAUCUGCGUCCUGAACCAGAAGGUCUACGUGAUCGGAGGAAUAACUCCCAUGUGUCAGGGCAUUGACUGUCGGAAACAUGAAAGCUCCGUGGAAUGCUGGGAUCCCGAUACAAACACCUGGACGACCCUUGAAAGUAUGAAUGACAGCCGGAGCACCCUCGGAGUCGUGGUUCUCUCCCGAGAAAUCUAUGCCCUGGGCGGGUACGAUGGGCAGUCGUACCUCCAGUCAGUGGAAAAGUACAUUCCGAAGGUGAAAGAGUGGCAGCCGGUGGCACCCAUGAGUAAAACCCGGAGCUGCUUUGCAGCCGCCGUUCUGGAUGGCAUGAUCUACGCCAUUGGCGGCUAUGGGCCUGCCCACAUGAACAGCGUGGAGCGUUACGAUCCGAGCAAGGACUCCUGGGAGGCAGUAGCUCCAAUGUCUGAAAAAAGGACAAAUUUUGGCGUCGGGGUCAUGCUGGGCUUCAUCUUCGUGGUCGGGGGGCACAACGGCGUUUCCCACUUGUCCAGCAUUGAGCGAUACGACCCGCACCAAAACCAGUGGACUGUGUGCCGGCCGAUGAAGGAGCCCAGAACAGGCGUUGGUGCUGCCGUUAUUGACACCUACCUUUAUGUUGUGGGCGGACACUCAGGAUCCUCUUACCUGAACACUGUGCAGAAAUACGACCCCAUCUCAGAUACCUGGAUGGACACCGCUGGGAUGAUGUACUGUCGGUGCAAUUUUGGCUUGACUGCCCUUUGAAGAAGGCCCCCUGAGGACUCAAGGGGUACAGUCCGUGCCCAGCCUGUGGAGACCAGAAGCUGCCUUUCUUCCGCCGGGAGAAAGAAACGAUGGCUUUGUUGAAAGUCAGGCAGGAGAGCCCAGCCGAGCCUUGUUCCUGGCUGUUGAUGGUCGGAGAGAAGGCACCAGGAGAAAGGGAGCCCGGCUGUUUGUUUCUCACACGGAUCCGUCCCUGACGUGGAAUGCUGGGUCCUCCGCAGAAGCAGCACUAGAGUGUGGCCUGAGGCCGGCGUAGAUCCUCCCCAACUCAGUAGUUAGACCGCUUCCAUCUCUUUCUCCUCUGCCUGAUGUAGGUAUCCUUGCUAGGGACACGGGUCCCUGGAGCAUGCCGCACAAAGAGACUUUCAUGGUAGCUGUCCGGCUCUGUCUUUGCAUUGAGAAAGCACCGUGGCUUCACAGUUUUUUACGAACCGUUAACUAAAGGGCUGCCUUUCCCUCUCCUUGUCCCCAUUACUCAAGGUGGGACGAUGGGCGGACUUGCUUGUUCCAUAUUCCUGGCACGCGGAAACGCUGCCAAGGCUCCCUCUUCUUCCAGCGGUCAAAUGCUCAGACUAAAACUCCUCGAGAGGUUUGUUUGCAGGUUCAUGUGGAUGGGCGACAGGUCUCCGGAAUUCCCCACAAAUCCACACACCUCUGCUUCAAGCUCAGAGCCUACAUAUAGAAAAACAAAGCUGCAGCUUGAAUAUCCAUCCUAGGAAGUCCUGAAACCCCUCCUCCCCAGAUACUGCCAGAGUCCAGGAGAAUUUUUGAGCAGCUACCCGAUGUAUCGCCUUCUCUCUCUCUCUCUCUCUCUCCCCCGAGGUGUUUCUGAGGGACUUCUCGGUUCUUACUGCGCAGCAAUAAUAACCUGAUGCAACCUUUGCAGUUACCUUUUUUUUACACAUGACGGUGCAUUUAUGGCAUUCUCAUCCUGUUCAUUCCACCAAGGCUGUCUGGGAACAUUCUCACAGUUGUGAAGAACACUAGAAGCUACAAUGACCGCAGGGCACCAAAGCCGAUGCCUUGUUUGGGCCGCUUCAUUUCAGCCAGAGAAGAAGAUGCUUGAUGAAACCGUUAGACAUGCUGGUCUCGGUCCAAGAUGAGUUUGAGGAGGAGUGGACUGAAGACACAAAGGCUUUCCGUAGAGUUCUGGGAUGGAAGGGGGCACCUCUAGGCGCAGAAUAAAGGCUGUGAGACAGAACUGAAUUUUAAAUCGUGCAGAAGGAAAAAUGGCCAUGAAGGAGCUGCCACCUCUGCUGGCGGCAAAGAACCCACCUGACUCUGGCGUGGCCUGCCGUGUCCUCGUGGUCCUUACGGAGCUUUAACUGCCGGAGGUGGGUCGUGAAACUUCUCAGAGCCAAGGACGUUUCUGGAAAGAACAACUCAGUCCUGGCCGUGGCAGAAUGCAGUGUUCCUGAAUGGACCUGCUGGUUCACCACGAUCUAUCCAUGUCUGGUCCACCCAGCGGGGAACCGCGAGCCCCCUCUGCCCUUCCCAGGGUGGCCAGGUGUGAAGAUGACAGCCUCUUGCAGUCUGAUGACACCCAGAGAGCAGUGCUCGGCCCGUCUCGGCAGAGGAAGGCUCGGUUCAUCUUCAAGCAGCAUCAUUUCCCCCACUCUGUUACUCUAGGGCCCAUGGGCUGCCCCGUGAGUCAGUCUUGUCAGUCAGCUGAGCUAACAAAACAGUUGAAUUGAUCCAAGCCCCCCCCCCGCUGCGUGUUUGCGGGCAGGCUUGUUUUGCCUUAAGGAUACGGACUAACUGUGUCCAAGUAAUAAUAAUAACAGUAAUAAGAAUAAAAUUUUAGAAGUUAAUGAAGAGGCUAGGAAACUGUUUAGUUACUCCAGGCUGAGUUAAGACUGAACUCACUCAGGCAGUAGUCAAAGAGAGGGCAUUUCCCGGACGAUCCUUGUGCCUGUUUCCUUGGGGGUUCGGGGUGGGUGGCGGCUUCGUUUUGCUCUUUCCCUGAAAUGCCCAAGCAGGAAAGUUGGACAGGCUGGCCCUAACACUUGAAAGCUGCAAUAAGUGUACUCUAGUUGAACAACAUCCGUGUCUUCUCAUGAUGGCCUUUACGUGCAUUUCCAUCCAGUUCUACUGAAACAUUUGGGGCAAUGUUUUAAUGCUCAAGGAGAAGCACUUUACAUCAUACUGUCUGCUCGUGUUUCCUUUGAUUUUGGGAAAAUAAGGAUUAGAGACACUGCUUUGGGUGCACGUUAGGGACAUAUGUAUGGCCAGGGAUGUGCAUGCGUGCACGCAUGUCCAUUAUCUGUGUGUACAUCAUUACUAUCUGUUUGGGGAAUCGCCUCUGCAUCACAAAAAGUUGUUUCUCAUGCCAGCCUCUCUCAUUUGGUGGGAAGUGUUCUUCAGUCUGUCCUGAAUAUCGUAGCCUUCCGUCCAUCCAUCAAUGGCCAGCCAAGAAACAGAAGGCGGGGUGAGUGUGAGGGGUCUGGCCUAGGCAUGCUGUCGAGAGGGUGCCCGAAAGACAGUUUUUUGAGGAGCUCCGCUGGCAGGCUCCCACCGUGGGGCGUUGCAGCCGAUGGCCCUGGUCUCCCGGACUUGUCCUGUGUCCUCAUUCCUGCCCUCCAGAGAACCCUCUGCCUUCAUGGCUGCUUUGCAAUGCCUUCCCUUUGCGUGGGAACUCCCUCCCUCCCUCCCUCUCCGCUUGCCUUAAGUCCCUCUUGAAUUCAUCACAGAACCAGGUGGGGAGUCCUCUUUUUUGCCUUACCAUAUGCUGCAUUCUCGCCUCCCUGGCCCAGGGCAAUCGUAGGUUUCUGCAGGAUUCCGACACCCACCCCCCCCAAUUAUCUGCCACAGGGUUUUCUGGCCUGCACUGAGAAGGGGUUUUCUCUUGGGUUUCUGCCAGGUGACCAGUCUGGCUUGAGGGAUGUUGGCAGUUCUGCCUUCAUGCCUCCCAGCAGGGCUUCAUUCGUCUCUCUAGCCAC
Non-coding RNA from Pogona vitticeps (central bearded dragon), 5023 nucleotides. The record is from RefSeq and is a predicted model, not a curated record. Lineage: Eukaryota; Metazoa; Chordata; Lepidosauria; Squamata; Agamidae.